RNAcentral lists this ribosomal RNA (495 nucleotides) under uncultured bacterium. RNAcentral describes it as "partial 16S ribosomal RNA". It matches the Rfam family "Bacterial small subunit ribosomal RNA", at positions 28 to 507 of the family's 1533-position model. The record is from RNAcentral.
GAUGAACGCUGGCGGCGCCUAAUACAUGCAAGUCGAGCGAACGGACGAGAAGCUUGCUUCUCUGAUGUUAGCGGCGGACGGGUGAGUAACACGUGGAUAACCUACCUAUAAGACUGGGAUAACUUCGGGAAACCGUAGCUAAUACCGGAUAAUAUUUUGAACCGCAUGGUUCAAAAGUGAAAGACGGUCUUGCUGUCACUUAUAGAUGGAUCCGCGCUGCAUUAGCUAGUUGGUAAGGUAACGGCUUACCAAGGCAACGAUGCAUAGCCGACCUGAGAGGGUGAUCGGCCACACUGGAACUGAGACACGGUCCAGACUCCUACGGGAGGCAGCAGUAGGGAAUCUUCCGCAAUGGGCGAAAGCCUGACGGAGCAACGCCGCGUGAGUGAUGAAGGUCUUCGGAUCGUAAAACUCUGUUAUUAGGGAAGAACAUAUGUGUAAGUAACUGUGCACAUCUUGACGGUACCUAAUCAGAAAGCCACGGCUAACUACGUG